GGUGGCUCAAUGGUAGAGUGCUUGCCUCUCAUACAUGAGGCCCUGGGUUCAAUUCCUUGGCACCA
This 65-nucleotide transfer RNA is filed under the name Dipodomys ordii (Ord's kangaroo rat). It matches the Rfam family "tRNA". Rfam says of the family: Transfer RNA (tRNA) molecules are approximately 80 nucleotides in length. Lineage: Eukaryota; Metazoa; Chordata; Mammalia; Rodentia; Heteromyidae. The record is from Rfam by way of RNAcentral.